UAGGGAAUCUUCGGCAAUGGGGGCAACCCUGACCGAGCAACGCCGCGUGAGUGAAGAAGGUUUUCGGAUCGUAAAGCUCUGUUGUAAGAGAAGAACGUGUGUGAGAGUGGAAAGUUCACACAGUGACGGUAACUUACCAGAAAGGGACGGCUAACUACGUGCCAGCAGCCGCGGUAAUACGUAGGUCCCGAGCGUUGUCCGGAUUUAUUGGGCGUAAAGCGAGCGCAGGCGGUUUAAUAAGUCUGAAGUUAAAGGCAGUGGCUUAACCAUUGUUCGCUUUGGAAACUGUUAAACUUGAGUGCAGAAGGGGAGAGUGGAAUUCCAUGUGUAGCGGUGAAAUGCGUAGAUAUAUGGAGGAACACCGGUGGCGAAAGCGGCUCUCUGGUCUGUAACUGACGCUGAGGCUCGAAAGCGUGGGGAGCAAACAG
Molecule: ribosomal RNA, 428 nt
Filed under: bacterium
Lineage: Bacteria
Description: partial 16S ribosomal RNA
Rfam family: Bacterial small subunit ribosomal RNA
Source: RNAcentral